GGAUGUAGCUCAGAGGUAAAGUUACUGCCUAGCAUGUGUGAGGCUCUAGGUUCAAUCCCUAGCACACUCCC
This 71-nucleotide transfer RNA is filed under the name Marmota monax (woodchuck). Its description in RNAcentral is "tRNA.Ala". Lineage: Eukaryota; Metazoa; Chordata; Mammalia; Rodentia; Sciuridae. The record is from RNAcentral.